GAUGAAGAACGUAGCGAAAUGCGAUAAGUAAUGUGAAUUGCAGAAUUCAGUGAAUCAUCGAAUCUUUGAACGCACCUUGCGCCCUUUGGCUAUUCCGAAGGGCAUGCCUGUUUGAGUAUCGUGAACACCUCAACUCUCAUGGUUUGCCAUGAUGAGCUUGGACUUUGGGGGUUUUGUUGGCCUUUGGUCGGCUCCUCUCAAACGGAUCAGCUUUCCAGUGUUUGGUGGCGUCACGGGUGUGAUAACUAUCUACGCCUGUGGUUUUCUGCCAGAUAACCUUCAGCGAUGGAGGUUCGCUGGGGCUCAUAAAUGUCUCUCUUCAGUGGAGACAGCUUUUUGGACGUUUGAUCUCAAAUCAGGUAGGACUACCCGCUGAACUUAAGCAUAUCAAUAAGCGGAGGA
Molecule: unclassified non-coding RNA, 402 nt
Filed under: soil metagenome
Description: partial contains 5.8S ribosomal RNA, internal transcribed spacer 2, and large subunit ribosomal RNA
Rfam family: 5.8S ribosomal RNA (bases 1-121)
Source: RNAcentral